AUUUCCUAGAACUUUUGUACUUUAGCUUGCAGUCGUACGUAUGCGCAUCAUUACCAACGCGAUACAUGUUCUUGUCAAGUGCAUGUUCAUUUGACGAAUUGUGCUUCGUAAUUCAAGCGCCAUUGAUCAGAUAUUCGAAAAUGAAUUGCGUUAGCGUCAGCCAACCAAGAUAUAUUCUCAAAGAAAGUGAUAUUUGUCUUAUAUAAUCAUAGAUGAGGUUGAAGAUUAUGCGGAAUUGUCGUCCGCGUUCAUUUAAUGAUUUUCAGGAAACGUUGUGUAAUCCCCCGCGGAUUUUCUGAUCGUACAACCACACAUUUUCUCGGAACAUAAAUUCGCUAAAGAAUUUCCAACGGCAAGUACAUCGAAUUUAUGCCAUCAUACAUUUUUCAUUACGAAGACACUUAACGUAUCGAUGAAUCUUUUUACGCUACUAGUAUUCUGUGGUUACGCAUCAUGGAUUAGAUCACAUACGUAUUGUGAAGGAAGACAUUGAUUUAUAGCGACCCAUCAGCCUUUGCGCGGCUCAUGUGAAGCCUCCUCCACGAGAGACCUUCAGGACCGUCUUGCUCCUCCGUGUGAUGGGAAGAUGGUGUCUGUGGUACCUGCGAUCCUGCGCACGUACAGCAACAUGUGACCGGCGUGUUGCUUCCCAACAUAUGACUGUUCGAAUAAGGACUCGAAAACGGAAGGCUCGCACAACGACACUGAACGUUGGAGCUGAUCUGAUGACGGAGCGCAUUUCUCAGGACACGCUGUUUAGAGCCACUAAACUACUUGCGGAAUAGUGCACGUUUCAUGCAAGUGUCCCGGACGGGAACGAGUAUCUGCAAGUCUC
Molecule: long non-coding RNA, 835 nt
Organism: Hylaeus anthracinus
Lineage: Eukaryota; Metazoa; Arthropoda; Insecta; Hymenoptera; Colletidae
Exons: 3
Source: RefSeq, a predicted model, not a curated record